Long non-coding RNA from Astatotilapia calliptera (eastern happy), 1712 nucleotides. NCBI's taxonomy places the organism in Eukaryota, Metazoa, Chordata, Actinopteri, Cichliformes, Cichlidae. The record is from Ensembl.
CUGAACUUGACGGUAGCUGUAUUUUACUGGCUGCUAGCUAUUUUUAGCCUCUAUUAGUUGCUGUUCGCAGGCGUUAGUGAAACUUUUCUUUGAAGCUGAUGUAACAUUUUUGGGGGAUUCUGAUGCUUUUUGAAUAAACUCUCAUAUAAUGUGAGAAUGCAAUCAAACAGUUUAUCAGAGGGAAAAUUUAUGGGCUCACCAAACAAUUAAAACACAAUAAAACGUUUUUUAAAUGAUCAAAAAUUGAUUUAAAAAAUGUAAACAAAUAUAUACAGCCUAAUGAAAAAAAUCCCCAGUAUCAACUAUAUUUCCUUCUGCAAGACAAACAUUUGUUUAUUCAUUUAAAUUGAGUUGUAUUUAUAUUGUGCCAAGUCAUAACAACUGGAAGUUAGAAAUAAAAACAAGGGCCUACAAUGGCAGCAGAAUCUCAGUUACAAAUAUGUAAGUUUUACAUAAUCUUCAAAUUCUCGAUUUGAAACAGACAUGAUUUAUAAUAAUAAGAAUUUGAACUUGUGAUUUACAGUCUCAUUUCCAGGGCUCUAAAUUGCUAUUUUGUCAAAGCUGCUGCCAAGGUACAAGGUGUCCUUUGGCAUCAGCUGCAGUAAUAUUGGAUGCCAAGAGCAAACACUGGUAACCAUGUUUUACAAAGAAAGGUUCUCCUGUUUACAGCAAACUUCUUUGUCAGUUUCCUGGUUACCAUUUUGUGCCCUGCAACAGUGAAGAUAUCAGCAAGAUGGAAACUCUGGAACAUAUGUCUAUGUUCUCAAAGCAUCGAUUUCAGAUGUCCACCUCCUCCCCAUCUCCAUCUGACAGACACCUCAGUCAGAGCUCCAUCCAAGCCUCAGUCUUCAUCUUCUAGACUCUGGGGUGGUCCUGUCCUAAAUCCUAUCACUGCUGGGAUUCCAUUCUGCAAUGAUGGGUCAUCAGAGUCCAAUCACCACAUAUAUUAAUUUCUCAAUCUCAGUAAAUCCUGUUCAGUUCUUUAAAGUGAUCUCUCCUUAUUGAAAUAGCAUAAUUACCAUUGAACUAUGCACUUUGUCAAGUAUAUUGCCAUAGCGUCUGUUUAGGUUCACUUCCUAAAAUCGCUCUCUGGGUAGUCACAUCCCUGUCAUGGUCCGGAGUCUGCGACUCCGUGUUUAUGUUUAGUCUAUUAGUAUUCUGUGGUUUUGGUUACCUUGGGUGUUUGUAUUCUUCUGUUCAUGUUCCUAUGUUCUGUGUCCCCCAGUCUGUGUUUAGUUGGUGUGUUAUGUCAUUGCGUGUAUGUGUUUCCUGUUUUAUUGUGAAGGUCUGCGUCUUAUGUGAGUGUUUUCAGUUUGCCUCCCUAGUCUCGUCACGAUAAUCACUCCCAGCUGUGUUCCCCACCUGCGUGUAAUCUCCCUGUGUUCUCUGGGUGUAUUUAAGUUGUGUCUUCUGUCAUGGUAGUUGCUGGUUCGUCUGUGUUGUUUCCCCUCGGUCUCCCUGCGUCUUCCUGUAUGUAUUUCUCCGGACCUCCCUGCAUCCUCGUUUCUGGUUUGUCUUAUUAGUUUACCCAGUUUAGGUUUCCAGUUUCAUGUUUUGUCGCCACCGUUGUUUGUACUUACCCACCUCUGUGAAUAAACACUCACCUGCACCAGAGCUGCCGCCUUUUGGUCCCUUUCUACAAUUCCACACGGCUUGCCCCGGCAAUCCGUGACAAUCCCACAUUAAAAUGUGAAGCCUAGAGCUUCUUAUAA